UACGGGGGGGGCAAGCGUUGUUCGGAAUUACUGGGCGUAAAGGGCUCGUAGGCGGCCAACUAAGUCAGACGUGAAAUCCCUCGGCUUAACCGGGGAACUGCGUCUGAUACUGGAUGGCUUGAGUUUGGGAGAGGGAUGCGGAAUUCCAGGUGUAGCGGUGAAAUGCGUAGAUAUCGGGAGGAACACCUGUGGCGAAAGCGGCUCGCUGGACCGCAACUGACGCUGAGGCGCGAAAGCUAGGGGAGUAAACAGG
Molecule: ribosomal RNA, 253 nt
Filed under: uncultured bacterium
Lineage: Bacteria
Description: partial 16S ribosomal RNA
Rfam family: Bacterial small subunit ribosomal RNA
Source: RNAcentral